Non-coding RNA from Schizosaccharomyces pombe (fission yeast), 312 nucleotides. Lineage: Eukaryota; Fungi; Ascomycota; Schizosaccharomycetes; Schizosaccharomycetales; Schizosaccharomycetaceae. The record is from the annotation of a GenBank genome assembly.
AGGUAUUAAAUGCAGUUGCCCGUUUUUUAGAAACUCCCUAGUCACGUCAAUACAAUCUAUGAAAUUUCGAGAGUUAGAUAUCAUGUUUGGUGCUAAGUCAGGAAUUAUAUGUUGUAAGCCAGCAAAAAUCCUUGAUCGUUCUUCGGCAUCAACUGUAGGCAUUUCUGCAAUAUUUUUUAUAAUCUCAACUGAGCGCACGUAUGUAUGUUGACAUUCUCCUUCUUGUGUCAAUAAUAUAAUCUGAUCUAAAAAUAGUGAAUAUCGUGGAAUCCUUUGAACUGGUUCCAUAAUAAGCUGACUCAAACCCACAUU